Molecule: long non-coding RNA, 662 nt
Filed under: Mytilus galloprovincialis (Mediterranean mussel)
Lineage: Eukaryota; Metazoa; Mollusca; Bivalvia; Mytilida; Mytilidae
Source: RNAcentral
CCUGUAUCCCGCUUACACUAUGUACGUAAGCAUUCUCAUUUUUUUGUCAUCCUGGGUCCCGCUAGACCUCAUUUCCUGUUUUCACGACACAAUAAUUUGACUUUCACAUGUCACGCUUACAAAACAUCGGCAAUCCCGUGUCACACUUAGACCCCAAUGAGAUCCACUUUAGAGCCUCUUGUUCCCUUUUCUGCCUGUUAUAUUGAAAGUUAUAAAAGAUAGAUCGACACUUUAGAAAACACAACAGUGCACACAAACUGAAAUGAUUCGACCUGCUUUGCCACAAGUAUAAUAUAAACUUAAAUGUUUAAAGAGUAAUUGAAAAACAGACCAAAACAUAAAAACUAACAUGGACCAAGGAACCAUGAAAAUGACAUCAAGGUCAGAUGAGACCCUUUAGACUUGCAUGUACAUCAUACAAUCAAUCUUAACACCAAGUACCUUUUACAUAUUGUACUUGAAAAGCACACCAAAAAAAAUAAAUUAAACCAAUGAACUAUGAAAAUCAGGUCAUGGUCAGAUGAAACCUGCCAGACUGACAAAAAUUCCAUUCACCACAAAACCUAAUUAUAGCAUUUUAGAAAUGACCUGGUCUAGUAAAUUUUAAACUUGAUCACUGAUCCAUGAAAUGAUGUUAAAGUCAGGCAAACUCUGUAGGAAGG